RNAcentral lists this ribosomal RNA (484 nucleotides) under uncultured bacterium. RNAcentral's name for it is "partial 16S ribosomal RNA". It matches the Rfam family "Bacterial small subunit ribosomal RNA", at positions 30 to 507 of the family's 1533-position model. The record is from RNAcentral.
AUUGAACGCUGGCGGCAGGCCUAACACAUGCAAGUCGAGCGGCUGAAGGGAGCUUGCUCCUUGAUUCAGCGGCGGACGGGUGAGUAAUGCCUAGGAAUCUGCCUGGUAGUGGGUGAUAACGUCCGGAAACGGGCGCUAAUACCGCAUACGUCCUGAGGGAGAAAGUGGGGGAUCUUCGGACCUCACGCUAUCAGAUGAGCCGAUGUCGGAUUAGCUAGUUGGUGGGGUAAAGGCCUACCAAGGCGACGAUCCGUAACUGGUCUGAGAGGAUGAUCAGUCACACUGGAACUGAGACACGGUCCAGACUCCUACGGGAGGCAGCAGUGGGGAAUAUUGGACAAUGGGCGAAAGCCUGAUCCAGCCAUGCCGCGUGUGUGAAGAAGGUCUUCGGAUUGUAAAGCACUUUAAGUUGGGAGGAAGGGCAGUAAGUUAAUACCUUGCUGUUUUGACGUUACCAACAGAAUAAGCACCGGCUAACUUCGUG